CACAAGGAGGUCUUCUCUUCAAGAUGCCUCAAUGCUGUAUUAUGUCACCAUGAAUCAAAAGGUUCGUUUGCGAUGCUUCAGCUUGUUGUUACAAGCUAUUGAAAAUUCAGGUUUGCUGAACUAAACUCCUUGGAGCUUUUGAUGCAUUGGUCUGGAAAGCUAAAUCUAUAAAGCAAGCUUGGCUUGGAUAUAUGAAGCCAAGACCAACAGAGAAGUUCAAGCAAGCCCAAGACCCACAUGGAAGUCAUGUUAUCGAUUGGGAAUAUUGUUUUGUUGGGCUUAGAUUACUCAUUGGUUCUCUGUCUUAUAAUGAAUUGGAAUAUGCAAGUAUGUAUGACCAAAAGUUCCCUUCGACAAUUAGAAAAAUACAUGCAUUAUUUGUAAUUUCUUCGUUGUACUGCUGCUUGAGUUACUCAACUUUGCUUCAGUGGCUUGGUGAAAUAUCACUUUUGCUUA
This is a long non-coding RNA of Corylus avellana, 456 nucleotides long. RefSeq lists it as uncharacterized. Lineage: Eukaryota; Viridiplantae; Streptophyta; Magnoliopsida; Fagales; Betulaceae. The record is from RefSeq and is a predicted model, not a curated record.